RNAcentral lists this ribosomal RNA (460 nucleotides) under uncultured bacterium. Its description in RNAcentral is "partial 16S ribosomal RNA". It matches the Rfam family "Bacterial small subunit ribosomal RNA", at positions 338 to 795 of the family's 1533-position model. The record is from RNAcentral.
CCUACGGGAGGCAGCAGUGAGGAAUAUUGGUCAAUGGACGAGAGUCUGAACCAGCCAAGUAGCGUGAAGGAUGACUGCCCUAUGGGUUGUAAACUUCUUUUAUAAAGGAAUAAAACGAGGCACGUGUGCCUUUUUGCAUGUACUUUAUGAAUAAGGAUCGGCUAACUCCGUGCCAGCAGCCGCGUUAAUACGGAGGAUCCGAGCGUUAUCCGGAUUUCUUGGGUUUAAAGGGAGCGUAGAUGGGUUGUUAAGUCAGUUGUGAAAGUUUGCGGCUCAACCGUAAAAUUGCAAUUGAUACUGGCAGUCUUGAGUACAGUUGAGGUAGGCGGAAUGCGUGGUGUAGCGGUGAAAUGCUUAGAUAUCACGAAGAACCCCGAUUGCGAAGGCAGCUUACUAAACUGUGACUGACAUUGAUGCUCGAAAGUGUGGGUAUCAAACAGGAUUAGAUACCCUGGUAGUC